Molecule: long non-coding RNA, 1082 nt
Filed under: Chinchilla lanigera (long-tailed chinchilla)
Lineage: Eukaryota; Metazoa; Chordata; Mammalia; Rodentia; Chinchillidae
Description: lncRNA (ENSCLAG00000024080.1)
Source: RNAcentral
CUGACCUAUAGCUGUCAACUAUCUAUCUAUCUAUCUAUCUGUCUAUCUAUCUAUCUACCUAUUUUGAGACACAGUCUUGCCAAAUCACUAAGUUGCCCAGGCUGAGCUCAAAGUUGUGUUCCUCCUCCUCAGCCUCCCACAGUGCUGGGAUUACAGGUGUGCAUCACUAUGCCUGGCUGGGCAACAUGACAUUUUAGAUGAAAACUGUUCUAGAACAUCAAGGCUGCUUGGUGGCCAUCACUGUGGAGUGAGUGACAGUGGGUUCCACUGGCAGUGGCCAUCUGCCACCCUCUGCCCAGUCCCGAUUCCAUGAACACUGGGAAGAAACAUGCCCACCCAGGGGUUCUUUCCUGUCCAGUCUGAUCCUCUUCCUGGUACAGGCUUUCGCUCAACUCUAAGGGGAACUAUUGCUGCCUCACACAUUUUGGGGCCAAGAGUCUUCAUGUCUCUGUUCUCCUAGGCGUGAGGUCACCAGACUAGGUGACCAGAAACCCCUGCUGUAAAUCCUCCAGGUGAUCCGAUCCUCCCUCGAGUUUGGAAGUUUCUCUGGUCUACAGGAUCAGGAAAGCCAGGGUUCACAUAACCAAAGUAAAGUCAGAGCUGGAAGCCUGGAGGAGGGUGAGAUGGAAUCUGAGCCAAAGGAGGGGAAGGAAGUUCUGGGAAAUUGCUCUGAACGGUGGCUAUUUUCAGCCAGGCUUUAUCUCCUGCAGGUGCAGCCUGCGAGUGGGCUGGGCCAGUUUAAAGGGCCAGGAGCCAAGCAGACAGGUAGAAAAGCAUUUGCAGGUGUUUUUGUAGGUCAUCCUGACCUCUUGGGAAUGGCAGCUUGUAGUUUGUCACCUCUUCUGCUGUCCAAAGGAUUUGGUUUUGUCAGUGCCCUUCUGAGGGAGCUGGCCUGGCUUGGAUGUGGCAUCAGGGAACCAGCAUUUGCCUUAUCCAUUGCAACAAUCACUCUGCACUGUUCCCCAUGGAGGUGGAGAACUCCCAACAUGGCAGCCACGUGGAAAGUCCUUCCUCGGCAUAACCCAAAGCACCUGUUAUCCUCUCUGAAGCAAACAGAACGCUGCCAUCACAGUCUCCAGUGA